GUGCCAGAUUACCUCAGGAAACUGCAGAAAACAUGUUUGUAAACGUUUAAUAAAAUUCACAGAGCCAAGAAAUGUGCCUACAUGCUCAUCAGGUCUGAACACCCAGGAUAGUAACAGAUGAGAAUAAUGAACCUGAAUUGGCUCCGUGAAACCACAGUGGUAUUGAAACCACCUUGAUAGAAAGGCUGGAGCAACAAAAGGCCUACUCAGUUGAAAUCUAAUCUGUGUUAAUUAACGCCCCUGAGAAUGAAAACACUUCUUUAUCAGUGUGUGGUUCCUGGCUAAAGCUCUCC
Molecule: long non-coding RNA, 293 nt
Filed under: Homo sapiens (human)
Lineage: Eukaryota; Metazoa; Chordata; Mammalia; Primates; Hominidae
Description: HSALNT0172582
Source: RNAcentral